ACUCUGGGAUAAGCGCUGGAAACGGCGUCUAAUACCGGAUAUGAGCUGCGGCCGCAUGGUCGGCAGUUGGAAAGAUUUUUCGGUCAGGGAUGAGCUCGCGGCCUAUCAGCUUGUUGGUGAGGUAAUGGCUCACCAAGGCGUCGACGGGUAGCCGGCCUGAGAGGGUGACCGGCCACACUGGGACUGAGACACGGCCCAGACUCCUACGGGAGGCAGCAGUGGGGAAUAUUGCACAAUGGGCGGAAGCCUGAUGCAGCAACGCCGCGUGAGGGAUGACGGCCUUCGGGUUGUAAACCUCUUUUAGCAGGGAAGAAGCGAAAGUGACGGUACCUGCAGAAAAAGCGCCGGCUAACUACGUGCCAGCAGCCGCGGUAAUACGUAGGGCGCAAGCGUUAUCCGGAAUUAUUGGGCGUAAAGAGCUCGUAGGCGGUCUGUCGCGUCUGCUGUGAAAACCCGAGGCUCAACCUCGGGCCUGCAGUGGGUACGGGCAGACUAGAGUGCGGUAGGGGAGAUUGGAAUUCCUGGUGUAGCGGUGGAAUGCGCAGAUAUCAGGAGGAACACCGAUGGCGAAGGCAGAUCUCUGGGCCGUAACUGACGCUGA
RNAcentral lists this ribosomal RNA (601 nucleotides) under Microbacterium sp. Its description in RNAcentral is "bacterial SSU rRNA". It matches the Rfam family "Bacterial small subunit ribosomal RNA", at positions 135 to 749 of the family's 1533-position model. Lineage: Bacteria; Bacillati; Actinomycetota; Actinomycetes; Micrococcales; Microbacteriaceae. The record is from RNAcentral.